This 225-nucleotide long non-coding RNA is filed under the name Homo sapiens (human). Its description in RNAcentral is "non-protein coding lnc-ZNF804B-3:1". Lineage: Eukaryota; Metazoa; Chordata; Mammalia; Primates; Hominidae. The record is from RNAcentral.
GGGGAAGAGGGCUCAGCUUACAUGUGGAAGGGCCUCACCUAUCUGUUGCACUUUCCUAGGGGAAAGUGAGCAUGCUUAAUACUUUCCUGAAGCAGCCCUGUGAAGAACUCUGAGAUCCAGGAACAUUACCUACCCUAUCUCUGCAUCAGAUCUAGGCUCUUUCCCUGGUGAGACUGUAACCAAAUUCUAUUCCAUAACCCUUAUAUGAAUCUGCUUCUGAUUGGC